Molecule: long non-coding RNA, 1387 nt
Organism: Chelonia mydas (Green sea turtle)
Lineage: Eukaryota; Metazoa; Chordata; Testudines; Cheloniidae
Exons: 4
Source: RefSeq, a predicted model, not a curated record
CCAGAGAAGUGAAGGCGGGUGCUGCUUUCUGGCCACAGAAGCAUUUAUGACUGGUUGCACUUACACUGGGCUUGCAGAGAAAGAAGACCCUGUAGAGGGUGGCCCUGAGAUGGGGCUGGAGAUAAAACAGACCCAGGGAAGUAGCAGCAGUGAAGGAUUGAGGGUGACCAGAUGUCUCGAUAUGAUCGGGACAGUCCUGAUUUUAGAAGAUUUGUCCUGUGUCCUGACCUUACAUCGGUCGGGACACCCUUUGUCCCAACAUCGGGACAGUCUGGACCACAGCUGCAGCACCACCACUCACCGCUUCCUGGGGCAGCUCCCGGCGCCCGCUGCAGGGGUGGGGCUUGCAGGCACCGGGAACGGGCAGAGAGCCCUCCACCCCCACACCCAACCCGACCUGACCUGACCCGCGACCCUAGGAGCCAGAGGAACCUGCCUGCUGGAUGCUUCCUGGGACGGGAGCCGCCCCAGCCUCAUGAAUGGUCUAAGAGUCUGAACUUGAAAAUCAGUGAGUGCACCCAACUCCCCUUGACUGCAACAGUAGUUGAGUCUUCAGCAUCCGGCAGGACUGAGCCUUGGGACAAUGUCUACCAAUAUGCAACUAUAGCUCCAACAACAUGAUCUGCAGCAGUUAAAAUAAUAAUGUGAAGAAAGACAGAGGUGUAGAAGAAAAGCAGCGGUCUCUGCCCAGCCUCUAACUUGCUCCCCGCAGUUCAUUGCAGGCACAAAAUGUGGGGCUGUUUUACAAAUGUUUGCCCUUAAAACCCAGCCUUUGCAGCCACCUUAAACAAAAUAGUGUGCAGAACAGGCUCUGAAGUUGCAGAAGUGGAAGGUCAACAUCUGAUUUCCAGAAGCUUGUGAUCUCUACAGAAACCUGCCUGUGCUUCCAGAUCUUUUAUAUUCUGCCAAGUUGAAUGUAGUUACAUGGGCUUUAUGGAAAUAAUCAUGUGAGCUGUUCCUGUUGAGAUACUGUAUCAAGAAUGCUUAAUUGCAGGAUGGAUGUUUAACGAGUGAAAAUUUCAUCUAGUACAGCAAACACUUUGUGUAAGGCUGAUCUGAGCUGUGUUGUACUGUUUCAUGUUAUGGAGUAUGAUUAUUGUAAACUGCAGAACCACUGAGAGACAAAGCACAAUAAUCCUCAAUAAAUAGAAGCAGUCUUAGAGUUUUGAUAGCAAGGGUACACUGUAUCUUUAGCCUUCAAGGUUUGGGGAAUAGGUUCCAUCCACCACAACAAAUGUUGACUGCUUAAAAUAGAAUGCAGCCUUCGUUCAGUCUCUCAAAUCUCCCUCAAAUUAUCCCUUUUCUUUCAGGUUAGGAUUUCCCUGCUCUGCACCAAUGGGAAAUGUGAGUCUUCUCACCUUAGGAUUGCUAUAAGUGGCUCCCCUAU